UACGUAGGGUGCAAGCGUUGUCCGGAAUUAUUGGGCGUAAAGAGCUCGUAGGUGGCCUGUCGCGUCGGCUGUGAAAACUCGGGGCUCAACUCCGAGCUUGCAGUCGAUACGGGCAGGCUAGAGUUCGGCAGGGGAGACUGGAAUUCCUGGUGUAGCGGUGGAAUGCGCAGAUAUCAGGAAGAACACCGAUGGCGAAGGCAGAUCUCUGGGCCGUAACUGACGCUGAGGAGCGAAAGCAUGGGGAGCGAACAGG
RNAcentral lists this ribosomal RNA (253 nucleotides) under uncultured bacterium. RNAcentral's name for it is "partial 16S ribosomal RNA". It matches the Rfam family "Bacterial small subunit ribosomal RNA", at positions 524 to 776 of the family's 1533-position model. The record is from RNAcentral.